GCCGCGUGAGCGAAGAAGGCCUUCGGGUCGUAAAGCUCUGUUGUCAGGGAAGAACAAGUACCAUAGUAACUGAUGGUACCUUGACGGUACCUGGCCAGAAAGCCACGGCUAACUACGUGCCAGCAGCCGCGGUAAUACGUAGGUGGCAAGCGUUGUCCGGAAUUAUUGGGCGUAAAGCGCGCGCAGGCGGUCCUUUAAGUCUGAUGUGAAAGCCCACGGCUCAACCGUGGAGGGUCAUUGGAAACUGGGGGACUUGAGUGCAGAAGAGGAGAGUGGAAUUCCACGUGUAGCGGUGAAAUGCGUAGAGAUGUGGAGGAACACCAGUGGCGAAGGCGACUCUCUGGUCUGUAACUGACGCUGAGGCGCGAAAGCGUGGGGAGCGAACAGGAUUAGAUACCCUGGUAGUCCACGCCGUAAACGAUGAGUGCUAAGUGUUAGAGGGUUUCCGCCCUUUAGUGCUGCAGCAAACGCAUUAAGCACUCCGCCUGGGGAGUACGGCCGCAAGGCUGAAACUCAAAGGAAUUGACGGGGGCCCGCACAAGCGGUGGAGCAUGUGGUUUAAUUCGAAGCAACGCGAAGAACCUUACCAGGUCUUGACAUCCUCUGACAAUCCUGGAGACAGGACGUUCCCCUUCGGGGGACAGAGUGACAGGUGGUGCAUGGUUGUCGUCAGCUCGUGUCGUGAGAUGUUGGGUUAAGUCCCGCAACGAGCGCAACCCUUGAUCUUAGUUGCCAGC
This 737-nucleotide ribosomal RNA is filed under the name Bacillus sp. NH11I. RNAcentral's name for it is "bacterial SSU rRNA". It matches the Rfam family "Bacterial small subunit ribosomal RNA", at positions 396 to 1122 of the family's 1533-position model. The record is from RNAcentral. Lineage: Bacteria; Bacillati; Bacillota; Bacilli; Caryophanales; Bacillaceae.